UGGGGAAUAUUGGACAAUGGGCGCAAGCCUGAUCCAGCCAUGCCGCGUGAGUGAUGAAGGCCCUAGGGUUGUAAAGCUCUUUCACCGGUGAAGAUAAUGACGGUAACCGGAGAAGAAGCCCCGGCUAACUUCGUGCCAGCAGCCGCGGUAAUACGAAGGGGGCUAGCGUUGUUCGGAUUUACUGGGCGUAAAGCGCACGUAGGCGGACUUUUAAGUCAGGGGUGAAAUCCCGGGGCUCAACCCCGGAACUGCCUUUGAUACUGGAAGUCUUGAGUAUGGUAGAGGUGAGUGGAAUUCCGAGUGUAGAGGUGAAAUUCGUAGAUAUUCGGAGGAACACCAGUGGCGAAGGCGGCUCACUGGACCAUUGCUGACGCUGAGGUGCGAAAGCGUGGGGAGCAAACAGG
RNAcentral lists this ribosomal RNA (404 nucleotides) under Pseudomonas sp. RNAcentral describes it as "partial 16S ribosomal RNA". It matches the Rfam family "Bacterial small subunit ribosomal RNA", at positions 355 to 776 of the family's 1533-position model. Lineage: Bacteria; Pseudomonadati; Pseudomonadota; Gammaproteobacteria; Pseudomonadales; Pseudomonadaceae. The record is from RNAcentral. RNAcentral also lists the same sequence under 3 other names.